This 567-nucleotide long non-coding RNA is filed under the name Coturnix japonica (Japanese quail). RNAcentral describes it as "lncRNA (ENSCJPG00005009166.1)". Lineage: Eukaryota; Metazoa; Chordata; Aves; Galliformes; Phasianidae. The record is from RNAcentral.
UCUGUCUAAAACAUCGUUGCUGCAAGCUAGAAAGCAAGAAGACUGAUACCAAACUACUCCAGCUCAGAGCAUUGCUGCAGUUCACAGAAUCAAGAACAUUUCCACUCUGUUCAUUUUCCUGUGGUGUAGGUGCAAGAAAUGGCUUAAGAUGGAGGGGAGCAUCUGCAAGAUACACAAGAAGCAAAAAAAGGCUGGUGCUGACAAGUUCACCCAAGACAAUCAAGGAUAAGUUAUUGCAAUAACAACAUAGCCCUAAAUGUGGGGCAGGGCAGAAUUACAUCACCUAAGGAGGAGCAUCUGCAAGAUUUUUUCUUCUCAAAGCACAGAUCCUAAAGUCAUUUCUCCCUGAGGAGGAAGGUAGCUUUCCUUGUGACUUAAUGGCCCAGCAUCCCUGGUGUAUCUUGGUGAGUAAUGCCCUAGGUAUUCUUGAGGAAUGUGUAGCAACUGUUUAUCUGAAUAGCUUUUGUGAAAGUCUUUGAAGUGAAUAGAACCUGCAGGUUUGCCCACUCAGCAGGUCUGCAGCUGGCAGAAGGUCAUAUGCCAGUCUAGGAGUCUACUCAUAAACUU